UCAGGAUGAACGCUGGCGGCAGGCUAAUACAUGCAAGUCGAACGGUAAGGCCGAGUGUAGCAAUACACGAGGUACACGAGUGGCGCACGGGUGCGUAACGCGUAUGCAACCUGCCCCUGACCGGGACAAAACAGCUGGAAACGGCUGCUAAUAUCCCAUGGUUACCGAGGAGGGCAUCCUCCUUUGUAUAAAGAUUCAUUGGUCGGGGAUGGGCAUGCGUAUUAUUAGGUAGUUGGUGGGGUAACGGCCCACCAAGCCGACGAUGAUUAGGGGUUCUGAGAGGAUUAACCCCCACACUGGAACUGAGACACGGUCCAGACUCCUACGGGAGGCAGCAGUAGGGAAUAUUGGGCAAUGGAGGCAACUCUGACCCAGCCAUGCCGCCGUGAAGGAAGACGGCCCUAUGGGUUGUAAACUUCUUUUAUCGUGGAGUAAACCCGGUCACGUGUGGCCGGUUGAGAGUACACGAGGAAUAAGUAUCGGCUAACUCCGUGCCAGCAGCUGC
RNAcentral lists this ribosomal RNA (505 nucleotides) under uncultured bacterium. RNAcentral's name for it is "bacterial SSU rRNA". It matches the Rfam family "Bacterial small subunit ribosomal RNA", at positions 24 to 518 of the family's 1533-position model. The record is from RNAcentral.